UGGUGGAGUGAUUUGUCUGGUUAAUUCCGAUAACGAACGAGACCUUAACCUGCUAAAUAGUCACACCAACCUUGGUUGGUGAUUCUUGACUUCUUAGAGGGACUACGAAUGUUAUAAUUCGUGGAAGUUUGAGGCAAUAACA
This 142-nucleotide ribosomal RNA is filed under the name uncultured eukaryote. RNAcentral's name for it is "partial 18S ribosomal RNA". It matches the Rfam family "Eukaryotic small subunit ribosomal RNA", at positions 1299 to 1458 of the family's 1831-position model. The record is from RNAcentral.